This is a long non-coding RNA of Cucurbita moschata (crookneck pumpkin), 292 nucleotides long. RefSeq lists it as uncharacterized. NCBI's taxonomy places the organism in Eukaryota, Viridiplantae, Streptophyta, Magnoliopsida, Cucurbitales, Cucurbitaceae. The record is from RefSeq and is a predicted model, not a curated record. The transcript is spliced from 2 exons.
AAGUUCAUUGUUUACCUCAUUCGAAAUGAGGGGAUGGAGUGAAAGACUGGCCAAUCUAUUUACUAAAACUGCAGGUGUAGUGAACAGCCUUUUUCUCAGUUUACGGUAUUUAUGAUGAUCUAAAAUCCCAAAGAGGUCACUCAAUGAUGCCGAAAAUUUUGCUGUAGUGUGUCCUUGCUUGUGUAACAGUGUCGGAUGAGUUUAAAUGAGUCGCCAAAACACUAACUCCGUAUCUUCAACUUGUAUUCUUGAAACGAGAUGAUAUAAUUGCGUAUGGAUUGCCGGGGUUUUA